RNAcentral lists this non-coding RNA (29 nucleotides) under Mus musculus (house mouse). The record is from RNAcentral. Lineage: Eukaryota; Metazoa; Chordata; Mammalia; Rodentia; Muridae. RNAcentral also lists the same sequence under 1 other name.
GCCUAAGGGAACAAAGUUUCAGGUGGGCA